CUCUUUCCGCCCCGUCCACGACAAGCACCAAGCACGUGGGUUCUCGGGGGGAAACAAACAGCAACUGAACUAGCAAGCAAGGAAGGAAGGAGCCUAGAGCAGUUUCUGCAGGCGCAUGUGUGGGAGCUGAGGCGCGCUACUGGGAACUGCCCUGCUGUAACCGCGCCCCACCCCACCUGCCUCUUCUUUCUCACACACAUGGUUCGGGGUGGGGGAGAUAGACAGUGGCUUCCAAGCAGCAAGAGAAGAAACACAAACACCGUGAGCACACAUCAGACGGAAAGAGAGCCUGUUGUGUCUAACACCAGAACUCUGGGUGUCUAGCACCCAGAUAGCUUGUUUGGAGAUUCCCAGGGGCACCCCUACACCUGAUUUGGAGCUACAGAAAGGUGUGGUCAGCAUUCCACUUCAGGGCAAGAUGCUGCCUAUUUCAGCCCUGGAGACCACUAAACCAUGUAUCUCUUCCUCAGAUUCACCUUUUGCAUGUCCAUGCAUUUGGACAUUAGCUACACCAUCUUGCUGUGUUUGGGCUCUCAUUCCCAUCCUGCUUGUCACCUCUAGAUUGGCCCUGCUUUCAAGCCCGAUCUAUGCAGCAUGCCUGGCAGCACCCAGAUAUUGGGUCUCCCGAGAUCAGACCCUCUUUGGAUUUUGCAUGGUACUUGGACUCUUGUGUGGCACUUGGGUCCCCACUCCUGCCAUCAGCCUUGUCCCAGAGGAAGGCGGGCCCUCGACAUCAGUCAAGCUACAAGGGUCCACACACCCCACCGGAUGGACUUAGAUAUACUUAUUUCUGCUCUAAAGCCUCUGGCUCCCCUCUCCUUCGCACUCUUUAAAUUCAAAGCUAUUCUCUAAGACAAUUUCUCUGGUCAGCCUUGAGUGGAUUUGUUACCUGUAAGUUAGCAUUAGCAACGCCAUUUUGAGAUUUCCUGCUCCUAAAAGCAAAAAGCCUUCUCUGCCAUUUCAUGAGAUGGCUGCUAGCAUGUAGAAAACAUCUGGUCAGCAUUUUUUUUUUUAGCUCUCACCCGCUUUUACAAUCUUGGAACAUUGCAACAAAUUGUUAAGUGAUAUUCCUUCCUGCAUCCGAGGCAGGGAUGAAUUCCGAUAGGUCGAGCUCUGUAGCCUGAUAGGGACAGCUCAGUAGGUAACCAACAAUUAAAAACACUAACAAAACUAGUAUUGUUAUCUUCUAAGAACUAAUAUGGUGAUGUAUCGUUAGACUACCUGUCAAGAGGUGUUAUUGCUGCAUGUGCUAAAUUUGUAUCCAUUUUGUAUAGAAACCCUGGGCAGUCACCAUUUUGGAUUUUCCUGCUUUGUUAAACAAUUCCCAGGGUGCGCGUUUGCUCUGCAGAGUCAAAUAAAGUUUUCAACAGUC
Long non-coding RNA from Hemicordylus capensis (graceful crag lizard), 1372 nucleotides. RefSeq lists it as uncharacterized. Lineage: Eukaryota; Metazoa; Chordata; Lepidosauria; Squamata; Cordylidae. The transcript has 3 exons. The record is from RefSeq and is a predicted model, not a curated record.